RNAcentral lists this ribosomal RNA (305 nucleotides) under uncultured bacterium. RNAcentral's name for it is "bacterial SSU rRNA". It matches the Rfam family "Bacterial small subunit ribosomal RNA", at positions 333 to 635 of the family's 1533-position model. The record is from RNAcentral.
UCGUACCUACGGGAGGCAGCAGUGAGGAAUAUUGGUCAAUGGGCGGAAGCCUGAACCAGCCAAGUCGCGUGAGGGAAGAAGGCCCUGCGGGUCGCAGACCUCUUUGGACGGGGAGCAAGGCCGCCGACGUGUCGGCGGAAGGAGAGUACCCGUAGAACAAGCAUCGGCUAACUCCGUGCCAGCAGCCGCGGUAAUACGGAGGAUGCGAGCGUUAUUCGGAUUUAUUGGGUUUAAAGGGUGCGUAGGCGGAUUAGUAAGUCAGCGGUAAAAAUGCGGUGCUCAACGCCGUAUCGCCGUUGAAACUG